AUAACUAAAAUCUGAAUUUGCAAUUUUGAAAAGUUGAUAAAUGCCAAGUAAAACAUGAAGAUUUUGCAAACAAUUUUCCUCGCUUUCUCUGAGAUGAUGUUAUGUCAUGAUGGUGCAUGAAUGCGUAAACACAUGAGACUUUCAUUUCAAUCUUUUCUUUUACUCUCGCUUUUUUUCAUUUUCCUCUUUUUUUUUCUCUUCUUCUUCUUUUUUUUUUUUUUGGAAAAUUCCAUGUUUGGAAUCCAUUGUUAAUAUUGUCAUCAGACACGAUGUACAUUCAAAAUGCAUUCCUUGAAAACAACGUGGAGAGGUAUAAAACCCUUUCAUGAGCAGGAAGAAAGAGUAACCGAGUUAAAAUUCUUUUUAUCACUUUUUGCAAUCCAAAUUAACUUGAACCCUGGAGGGGGUGGGAAAAUGGUUAUGAAAAGCAGAUGAAUAAUGAUUGUCUAUGAGCAAAUAUUUACGCAUAUGUGUCCCUCAACUGGGAAAGAGUGCAAUUCAAUACUGCCCCAAUUUUGCACGGCAAGUAUGCUUUGGAAAAGUGAAAAGGUUUGGGUAGGAAGGAUUGCCUCAAACUGGAUGAUCUUCGAUUGACAGGGAGACCUCA
This 607-nucleotide long non-coding RNA is filed under the name Vigna radiata. Its description in RNAcentral is "long non-coding RNA (VRAD_LNC001739)". The record is from RNAcentral. Lineage: Eukaryota; Viridiplantae; Streptophyta; Magnoliopsida; Fabales; Fabaceae.